RNAcentral lists this non-coding RNA (30 nucleotides) under Rattus norvegicus (Norway rat). Lineage: Eukaryota; Metazoa; Chordata; Mammalia; Rodentia; Muridae. The record is from RNAcentral.
AGCUCUUAUUAAUGAAAAUAUUUAACUGGG